Molecule: ribosomal RNA, 420 nt
Filed under: Pseudomonas sp. EP_R_32
Lineage: Bacteria; Pseudomonadati; Pseudomonadota; Gammaproteobacteria; Pseudomonadales; Pseudomonadaceae
Description: bacterial SSU rRNA
Rfam family: Bacterial small subunit ribosomal RNA
Source: RNAcentral
GGCGGCAGGCUACCAUGCAAGUCGAGCGGUAGAGAGGUGCUUGCACCUCUUGAGAGCGGCGGACGGGUGAGUAAUGCCUAGGAAUCUGCCUGGUAGUGGGGGAUAACGCUCGGAAACGGACGCUAAUACCGCAUACGUCCUACGGGAGAAAGCAGGGGACCUUCGGGCCUUGCGCUAUCAGAUGAGCCUAGGUCGGAUUAGCUAGUUGGUGGGGUAAUGGCUCACCAAGGCGACGAUCCGUAACUGGUCUGAGAGGAUGAUCAGUCACACUGGAACUGAGACACGGUCCAGACUCCUACGGGAGGCAGCAGUGGGGAAUAUUGGACAAUGGGCGAAAGCCUGAUCCAGCCAUGCCGCGUGUGUGAAGAAGGUCUUCGGAUUGUCUAGCACUUUAAGUUGGGAGGAAGGGCAGUUACUUAA